RNAcentral lists this signal recognition particle RNA (148 nucleotides) under Homo sapiens (human). Its description in RNAcentral is "Metazoan signal recognition particle RNA". It matches the Rfam family "Metazoan signal recognition particle RNA". From Rfam's summary of the family: The signal recognition particle (SRP) is a universally conserved ribonucleoprotein. It is involved in the co-translational targeting of proteins to membranes. The eukaryotic SRP consists of a 300-nucleotide 7S RNA and six proteins: SRPs 72, 68, 54, 19, 14, and 9. Lineage: Eukaryota; Metazoa; Chordata; Mammalia; Primates; Hominidae. The record is from Rfam by way of RNAcentral.
GCUGGGCAUGGUGGUGCAUGCCUGUAAUCCUAGCUACUUGGGAGGCUGAGGCAGGAGAAUCACUUGAAUCCGGGAGACAGAGGUUGCAGUGAGCAGAGAUUAUGCCACUACACUCUAGCCUGGGUGACAGAGUGAGACUCUGUCUCAA